Molecule: ribosomal RNA, 460 nt
Filed under: uncultured bacterium
Lineage: Bacteria
Description: partial 16S ribosomal RNA
Rfam family: Bacterial small subunit ribosomal RNA
Source: RNAcentral
CCUACGGGGGGCAGCAGUGAGGAAUAUUGGUCAAUGGACGAGAGUCUGAACCAGCCACGCAGCGUGAAGGAUGACUGCCCUAUGGGUUGUAAACUUCUUUUAUAAAGGAAUAAAACGAGGCACGUGUGCCUUUUUGCAUGUACUUUAUGAAUAAGGAUCGGCUAACUCCGUGCCAGCAGCCGCUGUAAUACGGAGGAUCCGAGCGUUAUCCGGAUUUAUUGGGUUUAAAGGGAGCGUAGAGGGGUUGUUAAGUCAGGUGUGAAAGUUUGGGGCUCAACCGUAAAAGUGCAAUUGAUACUGGCAGGCUUGAGUACAGUUGAGGUAGGCGGAAUUCGUGGUGUAGCGGUGAAAUGCUUAGAUAUCACGAAGAACCCCGAUGGCGAAGGCAGCUUACUAAACUGUGACUGACAUUGAGGCUCGAAAGUGUGGGUAGCAAACAGGAUUAGAUACCCCUGUAGUC